RNAcentral lists this microRNA precursor (61 nucleotides) under Xyrichtys novacula (pearly razorfish). It matches the Rfam family "mir-30 microRNA precursor family", at positions 9 to 69 of the family's 77-position model. Rfam says of the family: This family consists of the mammalian microRNA (miRNA) precursor mir-30a. Animal miRNAs are transcribed as ~70nt precursors and subsequently processed by the Dicer enzyme to give a ~22nt product. The record is from RNAcentral. Lineage: Eukaryota; Metazoa; Chordata; Actinopteri; Labriformes; Labridae.
UGUAAACAUCCUUGACUGGAAGCUGGUGUUCGCUUCUUGGGCUUUCAGUCGGAUGUUUGCA